This 232-nucleotide long non-coding RNA is filed under the name Nicotiana benthamiana. RNAcentral describes it as "long non-coding RNA (NBEN_LNC037246)". Lineage: Eukaryota; Viridiplantae; Streptophyta; Magnoliopsida; Solanales; Solanaceae. The record is from RNAcentral.
GUUGUAUUUUGAAUGUUCGAAAAUAAAAGAGCUCUAGAAUCGCCUCCUUAACUGGCUGGGUCAUAAGCGUAUCGUUGCUGACUGGGAGGAGGAGUGUGCGUGGAUUAAUAAGCUGGCGAAAAGGAGAAAUAGCUUAGCAGAAAUUACAGCAUGCCUGUUUGGGAUUUUGGUGCCGACGAUAUAGAAAGAACGGAAUAACAUGAGAUUCCAAGGUGACAGGUUGAUGAAGGAU